CUUUGCUUCCUUCUCUUAGUUUUCUCUUCCCAUCCCUCUGCCCCUGAGCAUUGUCCCACCCCUCCACCCACGCACUCCUUUCUCCUCCUCCUUUCUCUCUCUCUCCCUGUUCUCUUCCGGUGUGGUGUCUGCUUCUGCAGGCUCUGGAUUUCUGGUGCCUCCAUCCCAUCCUGGGGGGCGGCACUCUGCCCCUGCCAGAGGCAAAGUGGGGACCGAGAAGCCCAUCUUGCAGUUCUGGGUCCUGCUCAGUAAAGUGGAAGCUUCCAGAGACGCCCAGGUGUUGAAACGGCUUUGCAGGGGGGCUUUGCAGCUGCACCCGGGCUGGGCAGGUGACAGGGCCCCAUGCAGAAUCCGAAUGUCAGGGAAGACCACACCGCGCCUGGAAGCCCAACACAGCCGAGAGAGAAACAGACAAUCAAGGCAUUGAAAAAGUGGAGGAGAAGCCUGGAAAAACUGGCUGGGGCCAAUGUCUAGAGGUAUGGGACUCCGGAUUCUCAUUCUGAAGGCCACAGGGAGCCAGUAACAGCUCUUGAGCAGGGCAUGGUUUGAUCCUUUUGCCAAGGAUUUGUCACCUUGGAGACAGCAGACGGACUCAGGCUCCUCGCCUGCCUGCCACGUAGACUCGGCCACAGGGGGAAGGAGAGUGGGACCCAGGUGCCCUGAGCCCAGAGCCCUGCCAGGACCUACAGAGCUGUGGGCAGCCGCUGUGACCACUUGGGGCCUCAGUUUCCUCUCCCCAAACAUGAGGUCCGGUAAAUGAGGGGGACUGGGGUGAUGGGAGAAGCCAGAUGAGAAGCAGGGUGGAGUGAGGAGCGGGGAACCAAGGGGGCUUCCUGGACUCGUGAGAGCCUUCCCCGCCUUCUGGGCUCCCGGGUGCUGUCCUCACAUCUCAGCAUCGCACUGGCUGUUGGGUGCAGAGAGCAGCACGCUGUCCCCUGUCGGGCUCCUCAGAGCCCCCCAUCCUGCCCCCCGGCCCGGCGUAUCUGCCUCCCUGCCCCCCAGGUCCUGGUGUUACUGUCCUGAGGAGCUGGGGCUGUCCCUGCCGUCUGCCCAGGCGUUCCCGGCCGCUCUCCCUUCCAAAAACUCCGGUCCCCCGGACACCCAGGGACCUCCUCCACCCUCAGGCCAUCUUUGCAGCUUGGCCUGGCUCUGGCCCCAGGCUGCACCCUUCGAGGAACUUCUGCUGAGGAGCUGCUCAGAGCUCGGAAGGACCUUCCCGAGAGGAGAGGAGGAGAGAGAGACACAGAGAGAGAGGUGGAGCCAGUUUCCUGGAGUCACAGAGCUGGGAAGUAGCUGCACUGAGAUGAAAACCCAGAAAGUCUCAUGCUUCACUCAGAGACCCAGGACGGAUGCCAAGUGGACCACCCCACCCCACUGCAGAAGUGGCUGUUUGCAGGAAUGCGCUGUCUCCUCUUGGGCUCAUGCACGGGAAGGACCACAGCAUAACGUGGCUGAAACUGACCACAGGCACUAGCCGAGUGGCCAGUCCCAGCUACCCCGCCCUGCCUCCCGUCUGCCCAGGGGCUACUGUGAGCUGACCACACCACGACACAC
Heterocephalus glaber (naked mole-rat) is the source of this 1554-nucleotide long non-coding RNA. Lineage: Eukaryota; Metazoa; Chordata; Mammalia; Rodentia; Bathyergidae. The record is from Ensembl.